GAUGAACGCUGGCGGCGUGCCUAAUACAUGCAAGUCGAGCGAACGGACGAGAAGCUUGCUUCUCUGAUGUUAGCGGCGGACGGGUGAGAAACACGUGGAUAACCUACCUAUAAGACUGGGAUAACUUCGGGAAACCGGAGCUAAUACCGGAUAAUAUUUUGAACCGCAUGGUUCAAAAGUGAAAGACGGUCUUGCUGUCACUUAUAGAUGGAUCCGCGCUGCAUUAGCUAGUUGGUAAGGUAACGGCUUACCAAGGCAACGAUGCAUAGCCGACCUGAGAGGGUGAUCGGCCACACUGGAACUGAGACACGGUCCAGACUCCUACGGGAGGCAGCAGUAGGGAAUCUUCCGCAAUGGGCGAAAGCCUGACGGAGCAACGCCGCGUGAGUGAUGAAGGUCUUCGGAUCGUAAAACUCUGUUAUUAGGGAAGUACAUAUGUGUAAGUAACUGUGCACAUCUUGACGGUACCUAAUCAGAAAGCCACGGCUAACUACGUG
This 497-nucleotide ribosomal RNA is filed under the name uncultured bacterium. Its description in RNAcentral is "partial 16S ribosomal RNA". It matches the Rfam family "Bacterial small subunit ribosomal RNA", at positions 28 to 507 of the family's 1533-position model. The record is from RNAcentral.